This 85-nucleotide non-coding RNA is filed under the name bovine gut metagenome. The record is from RNAcentral.
AUUCACAGGGGGUGCCAACUCAAGGCUGAGAACAUACCCUUAACAACCUGAUCCGGGUAAUACCGGCGGAGGAAUGAGAAAAUGA